Molecule: non-coding RNA, 101 nt
Filed under: Otolemur garnettii (small-eared galago)
Lineage: Eukaryota; Metazoa; Chordata; Mammalia; Primates; Galagidae
Source: RNAcentral
AGCUGAUCAAUGCUGUGGUGCUUACAACUAAUGGAUCACAAACCAGCUAUAGAUUCAGUUGUUCCUUCUCCACUCCUACUGUUUCACUUGUCUAGCCUUAA